Molecule: long non-coding RNA, 157 nt
Organism: Dermatophagoides pteronyssinus (European house dust mite)
Lineage: Eukaryota; Metazoa; Arthropoda; Arachnida; Sarcoptiformes; Pyroglyphidae
Source: RefSeq, a predicted model, not a curated record
UGAUCAAACAACAACUACCAUUUAUACUUGCCAAUCACCACCACACACACACAGCAGAUAUAUGAUUAAAUUAAUUGUUAGCCACUGAAAACAUUUUUUUUUUCGUUUCGUUGUUGAAACAAGGGGGAAUAUCAAUUUGGCCUAAAAACAAAAAGAA